GACGAACGCUGGCGGCGUGCUUAACACAUGCAAGUCGAGCGGUAAGGCCCUUCGGGGUACGACGAGCGGCGAACGGGUGAGUAACACGUGGGUGACCUGCCUCUAGCUCUGGGAUAAGCCUGGGAAACUGGGUCUAAUACCGGAUAUGACUCCACGGCGCAUGUUGUGGGGUGGAAAGCCUUGUGUGGCUAGAGAUGGGCCCGCGGCCUAUCAGCUUGUUGGUGGGGUGAUGGCCUACCAAGGCGACGACGGGUAGCCGGCCUGAGAGGGCGACCGGCCGACACUGGGACUGAGACACGACCCAGACUCCUACGGGAGGGCAGCAGUGGGAAAUCUUGCGCAAUGGGCGAAAGCCUGACGCAGCGACGCCGCGUGAGGGAUGACGGCCU
Molecule: ribosomal RNA, 389 nt
Filed under: uncultured bacterium
Lineage: Bacteria
Description: bacterial SSU rRNA
Rfam family: Bacterial small subunit ribosomal RNA
Source: RNAcentral